RNAcentral lists this ribosomal RNA (381 nucleotides) under uncultured bacterium. RNAcentral's name for it is "bacterial SSU rRNA". It matches the Rfam family "Bacterial small subunit ribosomal RNA", at positions 75 to 460 of the family's 1533-position model. The record is from RNAcentral.
GCCCUUCGGGGUACUCGAGUGGCGAACGGGUGAGUAACACGUGGGUGAUCUGCCCCUGACUUUGGGAUAAGCCUGGGAAACUGGGUCUAAUACCGGAUAUGACCAUGGGAUGCAUGUCUUGUGGUGGAAAGCUUUUGCGGUUGGGGAUGGGCCCGCGGCCUAUCAGCUUGUUGGUGGGGUAAUGGCCUACCAAGGCGACGACGGGUAGCCGACCUGAGAGGGUGAUCGGCCACACUGGGACUGAGACACGGCCCAGACUCCUACGGGAGGCAGCAGUGGGGAAUAUUGCACAAUGGGCGGAAGCCUGAUGCAGCGACGCCGCGUGAGGGAUGACGGCUUCGGGUUGUAAACCUCUUUCGCCAGGGACGAAGCGCUUGCGGU